Molecule: ribosomal RNA, 221 nt
Filed under: Rhizophagus intraradices
Lineage: Eukaryota; Fungi; Glomeromycota; Glomeromycetes; Glomerales; Glomeraceae
Source: RNAcentral
GAACUCUAACAUGUAUGCGAGUGUGGUUAGUUAACAUCAAUUUUGGUUAUCAUAAAAUGGUUGGAGGAAUGUAGCUUCGAUCUCGUAUUGAAGUGUUAUAGCCUUCGGCAGAUGUGAUGAUCGAGAUUGAGGAUUGCAACGGAUACCCUUCGGGGCUACCUGUCUGAUCUCUGAUCGUUGCUCCGGUACCCGAAAGCGUGCUUACGGUUAUCAAAGUCGAU